GGCUUAUGCCUGCCCGCUGGCCUUAUGUGUAACAUGACCGUUGUAUACUGGAAAGGCAUACGGAUGUCUAACUAAUAUACUCACGUGUAUCCAAUCUUUAUAAUUUGUCAUAGGUUACCUGGGCACAGAUAAAAGCAAUAAGCCAUAAAAUUUGAAUAAGUACAUGAGAAAAUCAUUAAUAUAAAUUUUAUAAGACUGAAUAUAAGGUAUAUGCACAGAAAAGAUCCCUAUUAGCUUAUUUACUUCAAAAGUUCUAAAAAACAUGUAAAAAAUUUUAAAUAUAUGAAAAUUGAUAUUUAUUUAUAAGGUUAUUCGUGAAAUAAUUAUUUUAAAUUGUUUAGU
Molecule: unclassified non-coding RNA, 342 nt
Filed under: Hevea brasiliensis (rubber tree)
Lineage: Eukaryota; Viridiplantae; Streptophyta; Magnoliopsida; Malpighiales; Euphorbiaceae
Source: RNAcentral